UCGGAUCAGGUAGGGAUACCCGCUGAACUUAAGCAUAUCAAUAAGCGGAGGAAAAGAAACCAACAGGGAUUGCUCUAGUAACGGCGAGUGAAGCAGCAAUAGCUCAAAUUUGAAAUCUGGCGUCUUCGACGUCCGAGUUGUAAUUUGUAGAGGAUGCUUCUGAGUAACCACCGACCUAAGUUCCUUGGAACAGGACGUCAUAGAGGGUGAGAAUCCCGUAUGCGGUCGGAAAGGCGCUCUAUACGUAGCUCCUUCGACGAGUCGAGUUGUUUGGGAAUGCAGCUCUAAAUGGGAGGUAAAUUUCAUCUAAAGCUAAAUAUUGGCCGGAGACCGAUAGCGCACAAGUAGAGUGAUCGAAAGAUGAAAAGCACUUUGAAAAGAGAGUUAAAAAGCACGUGAAAUUGUUGAAAGGGAAGCGCUUGCGACCAGACUC
Molecule: ribosomal RNA, 433 nt
Filed under: Chaetoceros curvisetus
Lineage: Eukaryota; Bacillariophyta; Thalassiosirophyceae; Chaetocerotales; Chaetocerotaceae
Description: partial Eukaryotic large subunit ribosomal RNA
Rfam family: Eukaryotic large subunit ribosomal RNA
Source: RNAcentral